UACGGGGGGGGCAAGCGUUGUUCGGAAUUACUAGGCGUAAAGGGCUCGUAGGCGGCCAACUAAGUCAGACGUGAAAUCCCCAGGCUCAACCUGGGAACUGCGUCUGAUACUGGAUGGCUUGAAUUCGGGAGAGGGAUGCAGAAUUCCAGGUGUAGCGGUGAAAUGCGUAGAUAUCUGGAGGAAUACCGGUGGCGAAGGCGGCAUCCUGGACCGACAUUGACGCUGAUGAGCGAAAGCUAGGGGAGCAAACGGG
This 253-nucleotide ribosomal RNA is filed under the name uncultured bacterium. Its description in RNAcentral is "partial 16S ribosomal RNA". It matches the Rfam family "Bacterial small subunit ribosomal RNA", at positions 524 to 776 of the family's 1533-position model. The record is from RNAcentral.